CCUACGGGCGGCUGCAGUAGGGAAUAUUGGGCAAUGGAGGCAACUCUGACCCAGCCAUGCCGCGUGCAGGAAGAAGGCCCUCAGGGUUGUAAACUGCUUUAGAAGGGGAAGAAUAAGCUCCACGAGUUGGAGUGAUGACGGUACCCUUAGAAUAAGCACCGGCUAACUACGUGCCAGCAGCCGCGGUAAUACGUAGGGUGCAAGCGUUGUCCGGAUUUAUUGGGUUUAAAGGGUGCGUAGGCGGGCUUUUAAGUCAGCGUUCAAAAACGGCAGCU
RNAcentral lists this ribosomal RNA (275 nucleotides) under uncultured bacterium. RNAcentral's name for it is "partial 16S ribosomal RNA". It matches the Rfam family "Bacterial small subunit ribosomal RNA", at positions 338 to 609 of the family's 1533-position model. The record is from RNAcentral.